Molecule: long non-coding RNA, 2659 nt
Organism: Aegilops tauschii subsp. strangulata
Lineage: Eukaryota; Viridiplantae; Streptophyta; Magnoliopsida; Poales; Poaceae
Source: RefSeq, a predicted model, not a curated record
UUGGUUGCAUGUUUACUCCCAGAAAGGAAUAUUUCUAUUCAGAGCAUCCUUAACAAGUUAUGUUGUCCUGAUGGCUUGCUUAUUUCUGUUACAGUUUCUUGUAGUGCAUCAUCUGUGGAUUUUAUACUUUAUAAAUGUAUUUUUACAGGAUAUUGAGUAUGGCUGCCUGCCUAAAGAUAUCCUGCAUGGUAUCCCUUGCAAAUGCCAAAACGGAAUUAUUGUUUGUGAGGUUAGCUAAAGUCAUAUUUUCCAACUUUAAUGUAUGUAUUAUCUCUGCUGAUGUGGGCUUUCUUUACAUUGUGAUGUACCUAGGUGCGGGACUACAGGUCCUUCCUGUCGAGUGGGGGUGAUUCUUCAGAAUACGACUUCCCCAAAUUGAACAGGAUUGCUCUUAGAUUGGGCACUGAAUGUGUUGUCAAUGAUCUUUCCUUGAUUGCGGACGCUUUGUGGACUUAUCAUGAGCAAUUGAUCAGCACUUCUGUAAACCUGGAAAGGCAAGGUUUAACUGUCAUCUACUACUUCCGAAAUCCCACCUGAUUUAUUUUUCUUAUGCAUAUUUCAGAUUGCCGAGUCGACCAUCAUUAAUUCCUUGCAACCCAGGCUUAAUUUUGACCAUAAGUCAUGCCUUGAAAAGCUUUGCAACCCUGUUAAGAAGAUCGAUUUAGGUCUAUAGGGUGGACAUCGAAUGAAAGAUACAUCUCUUCUCAAUACUUCUCCUGGCCCUCCUGAAAAAUGCAAGCCCAAGGAAUGCGACACCUGUGAAGGUGCAGCAGUAUGCCCCACAAGUUGACAAUGCAAAAUCAACUGUAGUGUCUGAUCCUGAAGAUACUACACAAUGCUCUUCUACCAUUAUCAACAAUUCUGCCUAAUGUGAUAGAGAACAAAGUGCAUCAAGUACUCCUGCUUCUGCUAAUUUUCUUCAGAAUCAUGAUCAGCAGGCGGACUUAGCUAUCAUGAAGGUUGAUCAUAAAAAGGUAUGAUUGCUAACAGAGACAAUUUUACCACAAAAGAGAAAGGAGUGCUCGAAUCUUCUACAUGAAAGGCUGUUUUCAGACAAAAGUGUAAGGUUGUGUUCCCAAAGUUCCAAUGACCAGUUUCAAAGGUUAGUGGGCGCUUCAAAUAAAGGUCUUAUGCUAGGAUCUCCAAAAGAACCGUCGAUUGAGGACAAAGUAGAUCAAACAAUAGGAAACAAGGACAUGGAAGUACAUCAACAGAAGUCCUUCUCAACUCCUUCCUUGAACAUAAAGGAUCCAUGUUCAGAAAAAUUCGCCGAAAAGGUUAACAGGGGUCUCGGAAAGAACUGCCAGUUGAGGUUAUGGUUGAUCAGACCAUGGGCAAAAGAAUAUGAGAUUACAGGAACAGAAGUCCUUCUCAGUUAUACCAACAAAUCACCCACUUCCUUCCUUCAACAGAAAUGGUCCAUGUUUAGAAGAGUUCCCUGAAAAGGUUUAAAGCUGGGAUCUCGAAAAGAGCUUCCUUCAACAAAUCACCUCUGUAACCUCCUGCAAUGCAAGUUCAAGAAAUGCAGAUGCCAAACCUCACGAGGAUACAGCUUCUACGGAGCCCCAGCCUACUACUUCAAAGAUAAAAGUAUGAUGAACUUCUACCAUUUCUCUGAACCAGCAAAUCGAUUUCGAAGGGAACAGGCAGAAACAAGCUGAUAUUCUGGUCAGGCGUUCGUGUGAGGACAGAAGCUCAAUAGAGCCAGAUGUUACUGAUGGUACUAGCAGUCAAUUUGGUAUUUCUUCAGAUGUUGUGCAUUGGACACCCUUUAUAUGACAUUUAACCUAACAGAAAAGAUUCUAUCAGAGGUCAACCUGACCACCCAGAGGUGUUGCUUUGUACAACUUCACUCUCUGCACUUUUCAUUUUAAGUUGGAUUUUUUUUCCGUGCAACUGGCGCCAGAAUUAUAGAAGUUCUUUACAAAAAAAAAUCUUGUCCAUUAUUCUUUGUGUAGGCAUGCACCAAAUGGAAAUGCUGCUAAAAUUGAUGGUUGAAACAUUGACGCCAUUGAAUUCCUGCUCACCAUCUUGUUUCGUUCGGUAUGAUAGUGCUGAGGGAAGUCCAUACACGUGGGAAUAGGCCAUUUCAUGCUGUCCGACUCGGAGAAUGAAACAUACUCGAAAUAUUAGAUGCCUUGUUUUUCACCAUGUACAGUAUUUCUGUAGAGGUAUAGUUGAUCAAUAUCAUUACUUACUUCGCCUUUUUGAGUCUGAAUCACCAGAUGAGUGUUUUCACAUCGCUACUCUUCCCACUUCUGUGAGUACUAUUUUAAUUCACUUUUACAAUGCAAAAACAAUAGUAUAAUACCUCCUCAUAUCUGUCUCCUCCAUAGUAUGCUUUUGCAGGAUCAAGCAAAAAAGUUUGUCGAUCAAUUCAUUCUUCUGGUAAAUAAGCAUUGUCUUCCAAGGCAUUCAUUGUUUUGACAAGAAAUUGAACCUUUCUGUCUUUGUCCGGUUAAAAAAAACAUUCUGUCUGUGGCCACUUGCCGUUAGGCACUGACAAGCAAGGUUUUUGAGUCGUGACUUGGCGAGUCGCCGCGAGCCCUGCGGCUCGGCGUAUAGUCGACGAAAGUCGCUGUAUAGUCGUUGUAUAGUCGCGAGUCGCCCUGAUUUUUGGAAAACGACUUGGCGAUUAGUCGGCGACUAUACAGCGACU